AAAGAAAAUAACAAUGAUUCCCUUAGUAACGGCGAGUGAAGGGGGAAAAGCUCAAAUUUUAAAUCUGCUAGGUUUUACUUAUCAGAAUUGUAAUUUGAAGAAGCGUUUUCCGCGUCUCGGUUGGCCCAAAUCCUUUGGGAUGAGGUAUCAUGGAGGGUGAGAAUCCCGUUCGGUUGACCUCAUGACGCUUUACGAUACGCUUUCUAAGAGUCGAGUUGUUUGGGAUUGCAGCUCAAAAUGGGAGGUAAAUUUCUCCUAAGGCUAAAUAUCGGCGAGAGACCGAUAGCGAACAAGUACCGUGAGGGAAAGAUGAAAAGAACUUUGAAAAGAGAGUAAAAUAGUACGUGAAAUUGUUGAAAGGGAAACGAUUGAAGUCAGUCGUACCGACGAGAAAUCAACUUAUCGUGUGCGAACUUGUGGGCGUGCGUGAGUUUCGGCCUCGCUGUUUGCAUGUUUGUGCGCUUUCGGUGUACUUUUUCGUAUGGUAGGCCAACGUCAGUUUCGAUCAUUAUAAAAUGACCGGCGGAAUGUAGCUUCGAUUUCGGUUGAAGUGUUAUAGCCUCUGGUAGAUGUGGUGAUUGGGACUGAGGAUUGCAACGAAUACCCUUUGGGCUAUCCGUCUGAUCUCUGAAAGUUGCUCAGGUGCCGAAAGCUUGCUUACGGUCAUCUAAGUUGACGGUCAAUAGGUUAGAACGUGAUUACAUUCGUUAAGGACGUUG
RNAcentral lists this ribosomal RNA (719 nucleotides) under uncultured Glomus. RNAcentral describes it as "eukaryotic LSU rRNA". It matches the Rfam family "Eukaryotic large subunit ribosomal RNA", at positions 58 to 628 of the family's 3401-position model. The record is from RNAcentral. Lineage: Eukaryota; Fungi; Glomeromycota; Glomeromycetes; Glomerales; Glomeraceae.